UACGAAGGGUGCUAGCGUUGUUCGGAAUCACUGGGCGUAAAGCGCACGUAGGCGGAUUUGCCAGUCAGGGGUGAAAUCCCGGAGCUCAACUUCGGAACUGCCUCUGAUACAGCACGUCUUGAGUCCGGAAGAGGUGGGUGGAAUUCCUAGUGUAGAGGUGAAAUUCGUAGAUAUUAGGAAGAACACCGGUGGCGAAGGCGGCCCACUGGUCCGGUACUGACGCUGAGGUGCGAAAGCGUGGGGAGCAAACAGG
RNAcentral lists this ribosomal RNA (253 nucleotides) under uncultured bacterium. RNAcentral describes it as "partial 16S ribosomal RNA". It matches the Rfam family "Bacterial small subunit ribosomal RNA", at positions 524 to 776 of the family's 1533-position model. The record is from RNAcentral.